This 508-nucleotide ribosomal RNA is filed under the name uncultured bacterium. RNAcentral's name for it is "partial 16S ribosomal RNA". It matches the Rfam family "Bacterial small subunit ribosomal RNA", at positions 28 to 523 of the family's 1533-position model. The record is from RNAcentral.
GACGAACGCUGGCGGCGUGCUUAACACAUGCAAGUCGAGCGAGAAAGCUCCUUCGGGAGUGAGUACAGCGGCGAACGGGUGAGUAACACGUGGGCAACCUGCCCUAGAGAGCGGGACAACCCGGGGAAACCCGAGCUAAUACCGCAUGAAUCGUCAUUGCUCAAGCAGUGGCGGGAAAUGGUAGCUUCGGCCUCCGCUCUAGGAUGGGCCCGCGGUCGAUUAGCUUGUUGGUGGGGUAACGGCUCACCAAGGCGACGAUCGAUAGCUGGUCUGAGAGGACGCUCAGCCACACUGGGACUGAGACACGGCCCAGACGCCUACGGGAGGCAGCAGUGGGGAAUCUUGCGCAAUGGGCGAAAGCCUGACGCAGCAACGCCGCGUGAGGGAUGACGGCCUUCGGGUUGUAAACCUCUUUCAGGAGGGACGAAGCUUCCGGGGUUAAUAGCCUACGGGGUGACGGUACCUCCAGAAGAAGCCCCGGCUAACUACGUGCCAGCCGCCGCAGUAA